UACGUAGGGGGCAAGCGUUGUCCGGAUUUACUGGGCGUAAAGAGCGUGUAGGCGGCCCGGUAAGUCCGCUGUGAAAGUCGGGGGCUCAACCCUCGAAUGCCGGUGGAUACUGUCGGGCUAGAGUGCGGAAGAGGCGAGUGGAAUUCCUGGUGUAGCGGUGAAAUGCGCAGAUAUCAGGAGGAACACCAAUUGCGAAGGCAGCUCGCUGGGACGUAACUGACGCUGAGACGCGAAAGCGUGGGGAGCAAACAGG
RNAcentral lists this ribosomal RNA (253 nucleotides) under uncultured bacterium. RNAcentral's name for it is "partial 16S ribosomal RNA". It matches the Rfam family "Bacterial small subunit ribosomal RNA", at positions 524 to 776 of the family's 1533-position model. The record is from RNAcentral.